Non-coding RNA from Podarcis lilfordi (Lilford's wall lizard), 74 nucleotides. The record is from the annotation of a GenBank genome assembly. Lineage: Eukaryota; Metazoa; Chordata; Lepidosauria; Squamata; Lacertidae.
UGUAGGAUAGCUCGGUGGGUAGGGCAUGAGACUCUUAAUCUCAGGGUUAUGAGUUCGAGCCACAUGUUGGGUAA